This 479-nucleotide ribosomal RNA is filed under the name Enterocytozoon bieneusi. RNAcentral describes it as "partial 18S ribosomal RNA". It matches the Rfam family "Microsporidia small subunit ribosomal RNA", at positions 319 to 802 of the family's 1311-position model. The record is from RNAcentral. Lineage: Eukaryota; Fungi; Microsporidia; Enterocytozoonidae.
GGAGACAGUCAUGAGACGUGAGUAUAAGACCUGAGUGUAAAGACCUUAGGGUGAAGCAAUUGGAGGGCAAGCUUUGGUGCCAGCAGCCGCGGUAACUCCAACUCCAAGAGUGUCUAUGGUGGAUGCUGCAGUUAAAGGGUCCGUAGUCGUGAAUGCAAUUAAAUGUCGUUGUUCAAUAGCGAUGAGUUUGCUAAUGUUUGCGGAACGGAUAGGGAGUGUAGUAUAGACUGGCGAAGAAUGAAAUCUCAAGACCCAGUUUGGACUAACGGAGGCGAAGGCGACACUCUUAGACGUAUCUUAGGAUCAAGGACGAAGGCAGGAGUAUCGAAAGUGAUUAGACACCGCUGUAGUUCCUGCAGUAAACUAUGCCGACAGCCUGUGUGUGAGAAUACGUGGGCGGGAGAAAUCUUAGUGUUCGGGCUCUGGGGAUAGUACGCUCGCAAGGGUGAAACUUAAAGCGAAAUUGACGGAAGGACACA